RNAcentral lists this ribosomal RNA (497 nucleotides) under uncultured bacterium. Its description in RNAcentral is "partial 16S ribosomal RNA". It matches the Rfam family "Bacterial small subunit ribosomal RNA", at positions 28 to 507 of the family's 1533-position model. The record is from RNAcentral.
GAUGAACGCUGGCGGCGUGCCUAAUACAUGCAAGUCGAGCGAACGGACGAGAAGCUUGCUUCUCUGAUGUUAGCGGCGGACGGGUGAGUAACACGUGGAUAACCUACCUAUAAGACUGGGAUAACUUCGGGAAACCGGAGCUAAUACCGGAUAAUAUUUUGAACCGCAUGGUUCAAUAGUGAAAGACGGUCUUGCUGUCACUUAUAGAUGGAUCCGCGCUGCAUUAGCUAGUUGGUAAGGUAACGGCUUACCAAGGCAACGAUGCAUAGCCGACCUGAGAGGGUGAUCGGCCACACUGGAACUGAGACACGGUCCAGACUCCUACGGGAGGCAGCAGUAGGGAAUCUUCCGCAAUGGGCGAAAGCCUGACGGAGCAACGCCGCGUGAGUGAUGAAGGUCUUCGGAUCGUAAAACUCUGUUAUUAGGUAAGAACAUAUGUGUAAGUAACUGUGCACAUCUUGACGGUACCUAAUCAGAAAGCCACGGCUAACUACGUG